This 187-nucleotide unclassified non-coding RNA is filed under the name fungal sp. RNAcentral describes it as "partial internal transcribed spacer region". The stretch from base 1 to 46 matches the Rfam family "Eukaryotic small subunit ribosomal RNA", at positions 1786 to 1831 of the family's 1831-position model. The record is from RNAcentral. Lineage: Eukaryota; Fungi.
AAGUCGUAACAAGGUUUCCGUAGGUGAACCUGCGGAAGGAUCAUUGACAAAAUCUUUAUAUAAAUCUUUGUGAAUUGAAAGCGGUAUGCUUUCCGUAAUAUUUAUUAUUAUUAACGUAUAUUUUAGAGUCUUAUUGAAAAAUUAGUUAAUGUAAAAACAACUUUUAACAAUGGAUCUCUUGGCUCUU